RNAcentral lists this ribosomal RNA (420 nucleotides) under bacterium. RNAcentral describes it as "partial 16S ribosomal RNA". It matches the Rfam family "Bacterial small subunit ribosomal RNA", at positions 355 to 776 of the family's 1533-position model. The record is from RNAcentral.
UGGGGGAUAUUGCACAAUGGGCGAAAGCCUGAUGCAGCGACGCCGCGUGGGGGAUGAAGGCUUUCGGGUUGUAAACCUCUUUCGCUAUCGAACAAGGCCCUCUUAGGGUGGGUUGAGGGUAGGUGGAGAAGAAGCGCCGGCUAACUACGUGCCAGCAGCCGCGGUAAUACGUAGGGCGCGAGCGUUGUCCGGAAUUAUUGGGCGUAAAGGGCUUGUAGGCGGCUUGUUGCGCCUGCUGUGAAAACGCGGGGCUUAACUUCGCGCGUGCAGUGGGUACGGGCAGGCUUGAGUAUGGUAGGGGUGACUGGAAUUCCAGGUGUAGCGGUGGAAUGCGCAGAUAUCUGGAGGAACACCGAUGGCGAAGGCAGGUCACUGGGCCAUUACUGACGCUGAGGAGCGAAAGCAUGGGUAGCGAACAGG